GUUAGAGGGAGUGGGGUAUAGUGACACAGUAACAGAGGGAUUGAGGGUCCUGCUCAGUGAGUUUACAUGUUAGAGGGAGUGGGGUAUAGUGACACAGUAACAGAGGGAUUGAGGGCCCUGCUCAGUGAGUUUACAUGUUAGAGGGAGUGGGGUAUAGUGACAGUAACAGAGGGAUUGAGGGCCUGCUCAGUGAGUUUACAUGUUAGAGGGAGUGGGGUAUAGUGACACAGUAACAGAGGGAUUGAGGGCCUGCUCAGUGAGUUUACAUGUUAGCGGGAGUGGGGUAUAGUGACACAGUAACAGAGGGAUUGAGGUCCUGCUCAGUGAGCUUACAUGCUAGAGGGAGUGGGGUAUAGUGACACAGUAACAGAGGGAUUGAGGGCCUGCUCAGUGAGUUUACAUGUUAGAGGGAGUGGGGUAUAGUGACACAGUAACAGAGGGAUUGAGGGCCCUGCUCAGUGAGUUUACAUGUUAGAGGGAGUGGGGUAUAGUGAC
This is a non-coding RNA of Pelobates cultripes (western spadefoot toad), 495 nucleotides long. The record is from the annotation of a GenBank genome assembly. NCBI's taxonomy places the organism in Eukaryota, Metazoa, Chordata, Amphibia, Anura, Pelobatidae.